CUCCACCUUUGGGCAAGAUGGCUGCGCCCACUGGCUUUGCCGGGAGGGAGGGGCUGCUAUUCUCACGCGCCGAUCUGGAUUCAGAUCAGUUCUGUUCUCUGGUCUCCCGAGGCCCUGGGUUUAUGGGGUCCCCACGGACGGAAGCUUUCCCCCCAUCAGUGGGUUUCCACUGAACCAGCGGCAGGAGUCCUGGAUGAUCCCCCGGUCGCGCGGCCCCUCCCCCACUCCUUCGUGACCCACGCCGCAGCCAUCGCAGACUCUAGGGGAGGGAGCAAUGUUCUCUCCUAUCGUUCCAGCACCUCCAAGGCCAAAAUAACACAUUGGUUAUAGACGAAGCUCUCCGUGUGCCCUUUCCAGACUCCACUUCCCUCUCUCCUCCUCCUAUGAUCUGGCUCCUGAACUUGGGUGUAUGUUUUCACGUGUUAAGACAUCUUCCAUAGCUCAAGGGUCUAAAACAGCGCUGUGCAUAUCAAAGGCACUCAGGUCAUGCUGGGUGAGUGACAAACCAUAGGGGAAAUUCAUGAAAGAUCUCAAGACUCUGAGCUUCCCUGGUAAAGAGGACAGGGCGUGUAAGUCACGGCCAAGGCUCCAGACGCCGCUACAUGAGGCGGCACCUGCGGAAAACCCGACUGAAGCGUUAACAGAACACAGCAUCUGUGCUUCGCUUUCCUAAACUCUAAUAAAAAUAAUGCUUC
Molecule: long non-coding RNA, 695 nt
Filed under: Equus caballus (horse)
Lineage: Eukaryota; Metazoa; Chordata; Mammalia; Perissodactyla; Equidae
Description: lncRNA (ENSECAG00000048327.1)
Source: RNAcentral